This 481-nucleotide ribosomal RNA is filed under the name uncultured bacterium. RNAcentral describes it as "partial 16S ribosomal RNA". It matches the Rfam family "Bacterial small subunit ribosomal RNA", at positions 28 to 507 of the family's 1533-position model. The record is from RNAcentral.
GAUGAACGCUGGCGGCGUGCCUAACACAUGCAAGUCGAACGGAGAUUACGGACGGAAGUUUUCGGAUGGAAGCCUGUAAUUCUUAGUGGCGGACGGGUGAGUAACGCGUGGGCAACCUGCCCUAUAAAGGGGGAUAGCAGCUGGAAACGGCUGGUAAGACCGCAUAAGUCGGUUAAAUCGCAUGAUUUGAUCGGGAAAUGAGCAAUCAGGUAUAGGAUGGGCCCGCGUCCGAUUAGCCAGUUGGCAGGGUAAAAGCCUACCAAAGCGACGAUCGGUAGCCGGACUGAGAGGUCGGACGGCCACAUUGGGACUGAGACACGGCCCAAACUCCUACGGGAGGCAGCAGUGGGGGAUAUUGCACAAUGGAGGAAACUCUGAUGCAGCGACGCCGCGUGAGUGAAGAAGUAUUUCGGUAUGUAAAGCUCUAUCAGCAGGGAAGAUGAUGACGGUACCUGACUAAGAAGCCCCGGCUAACUACGUG